UUAAUGGCGUUGACGGAGAGAAGUAGCUUUAAUUAUCGCUAACAGAGAGCAGGUGUUGGUGGAAGUCCUGUAGAAUGAAUUAAUGUGAAUAACACUCCUAAGCUGCAACCUGAACGUUUAAUAAUCAGUAGGGAAGCCGUUGUCGAGCGAUAAUCGAUGGGUUGCAAGACCAUGAGUGGCUGCAUAAGCAGUAAAUCAGGUGGUACCGCGGACAUAUUAAGUAAUUAGUGAGUUCGUCCUGGAU
RNAcentral lists this non-coding RNA (244 nucleotides) under Eubacterium sp. RNAcentral describes it as "T-box sequence". It matches the Rfam family "T-box leader". Rfam says of the family: Uncharged tRNA acts as the effector for transcription antitermination of genes in the T-box leader family. T-boxes are found upstream of many aminoacyl-tRNA synthetase genes and some amino acid biosynthetic genes usually in Gram-positive bacteria. Lineage: Bacteria; Bacillati; Bacillota; Clostridia; Eubacteriales; Eubacteriaceae. The record is from RNAcentral.